AUGGACGCUUUUUAUAUAUACUCGUCACAAGCAAAAUUGUUAAUAGAACGCAUUUUCGACAGUAGUAUUACAAAUGAAACGAUACAAUGCGAUAUAAAAGAUAUAAUAACACAGAAUAAAAAAAUAUAUAAAGACUAUUCCAUAGUUUUAAACAAUGAUAAUUUAAACUUGUUGAUAAAAAAUAAUUUAGAAACGAAUUUUUUAUACAUAAUUAAGGAAGAUGAUAUAUUUUUUAUUAUAUUAAAAAAAGAUGAACAUAAUCCUAUAUUGUUGGUUGAAAUGAUACAAGAAAUGGUUAAGAAUAUAAAAAAAUAUUUUAAUAUAAAAAAAUUGAUUGAAACUAUAUUUAUAAAUAAUUAUUCUGUUUGUAAUUUUUUGAUUGAUGAAAUGUUAGUACAUGGUGGUAGACCUAGUUUAUUUAUUGAUAAUAUAUUAAAACGUUUAAUAAAAAAUGAAUCUUUUUUUUUAAAUGAAACAAUACAAGGUACUCAAAUUACAAAUAAUAUAUAUAAUAUGAUUACACAAAAAACAAAAAAUAAUAUUAAUAAUAAUAAUAAUUUGAUGAUGUCUUCAUAUAAUGAAAAUAAUAUAAAUUUUAGUUUUAGUAAUGGUACAUGUAUUAAUUCAACAGAUUGUAUGUAUAUUUAUUGGAGGUCAAAUAAUAUCUUGUAUUCUACUAAUGAAAUUUAUGUUGAUAUUAUUGAAAAAAUUGAUUUUACAAUAAAUAAAAAUAAUAAAAUUUUAUAUUAUAUGAUCCAAGGAGAUGUUGUUGUUACUUGUUCGGUUGGUGGUUAUCCAUUAAUUAAGUUAAGUUUUAAUGAAAAAAUUGAUUUGGAAAAAUGUCAUUUACAUUUUACGGUUAACUUUUCCAAACUAAGCGAAGCAAAUGGAUUGCAACAGACCAAUUUAAAAAGUGGUGGUAAUGUAAGUGGUGAUAAUGUAAGUGGUGGUAACGUAAGAGGUGGUAAUUUAAGAGGUAGUAAGUUAAGAGGUAGUAAGUUAAGGGGUGGUAAUAUGAAAGACAAUAGUGACGAUAAAGCCAUUUAUUUCGUUCCUUUGGAUGAAACAUACGUAGUUAUGCAGUAUUUCGAGUAUGUUCAUUUAGAAAGUGACAGGGGUAUAGAUACAUAUAAAACUAGUAAAACUAAUACUAGUGAACAUACUAAUAGUGAUAGUGACAUUGAUAGUUAUAGCGAUAGUGAUAGCAAUAGUGAUAGUGAUAAAAUUAAAAAAAAAAAAAAGAAAAAAAAAAAAAGUAAUUAUAAGUCAACAAAGUUGACAAACGUUUUGGAUUUAAACAGUGUAGAAACGUCAAGUUAUAAUAUGUUAAAUGAUGAAUUGGAAAAUAGAGACAACAAUGAUGAUAGUAAUAUUAUAAAUGAUAAAACUAUAAAUGAUAAAACUAUAAGUGGNNNNNNNNNNUGGCAAAACUAUAAAUGA
This 1440-nucleotide long non-coding RNA is filed under the name Piliocolobus tephrosceles (Ugandan red Colobus). Its description in RNAcentral is "lncRNA (ENSPTEG00000022705.1)". Lineage: Eukaryota; Metazoa; Chordata; Mammalia; Primates; Cercopithecidae. The record is from RNAcentral.